This 1089-nucleotide long non-coding RNA is filed under the name Chloebia gouldiae (Gouldian finch). RNAcentral describes it as "Erythrura gouldiae (Gouldian finch) lncRNA (ENSEGOG00005001777.1)". Lineage: Eukaryota; Metazoa; Chordata; Aves; Passeriformes; Passeridae. The record is from RNAcentral.
GAGAUAUAAUUUGGUAUCUGAAAAACUUGAACACUAGGUGAUUUCAAAGUGACAUCUCCUUGCCUGCAGGCAGCUCUCCUGGCAGCUCUCCUCUAGGUGGUCAUCUCCACUCCUGCACUAUGCCCUGCUGCUGCCCAGUGCCCGAAAUGUCCUUGAGCUUUAGCUCUAGUAAUGCUGAGGCUAUGGAGAGGCAACACCAAAUGUGCAGAAGCUUAACACCUGACCAAUGUGCAACAUUUGGAUCUGAUAAACACACUCCAGUCAGCACUAAUAACAUCACACACAGCAACCACCAGUAGGGAUCUUGGGCAGGUUCUGAUGGAAGACAUGUAGUUCCAGGGAAAUAGCAUAGUGCAAGUCCUGCUCCUUUUUGUCAUCUUCAGUCCUGAUACUGGCUGCACUGGAGACAGUCCCAAUAGGGGAUGAUCAACUGAGACCUUACCAAUCUUCUUCCUGGCUGAGUACUGAGGAGAUUUCUUUUUCCUGUUCCUUUCCUUUCUCUCUUCUGUUUUUUUUCUUUUUUCAUUUUUUUUCCCAAGACUCAAAUUGUACCUUUAAAAUCAACAUAUUCCAUCAGCUUCUGAUGUUGCUAAUCAAUCAGUGUGCAGAUGGACCAGCCUCAGCAUCCUCUGUGCAGCUGUUUCUCCCGCUGUCUUUGAUGGCAAACAUAAGUGAAUGCCAAGAGAAGAGUGUUACAACAGGCUGUAAAGCCCCGAUCAUGUAAGGUUAGAGGUUCAUGGCUCAUGGAAGAGAGAGGAGUGGAAGACCUCUGCGCAAGUCACACCAUUGAUGGGCACAUUUCUGAAAGGCUGGGAAAUUCUACAAACAGAAAAAUGUUCAGUCUAUCCCAGCACAAUGCAGGACCAUAAAAACCAGCAUGAUGAAUGUCAAACCACUAUGCACAGCACAGUGAGUAGCUGUACAUGAGCUUUCAAGGGAGUGCACAUGGUCGGAUUUAAAUGUCCAUCAUCUGCUUUCCCAACUUAUUGAGGAACUCAAUUUAAUUUCCAAGAAAGAGGAACAAGGUAAUAGAAAUUGUACUUGAUUAGCAAAGACCUCAAUAAACAUCCUCUUCUGGCUAAAUAUUCA